CCUACGGGAGGCAGCAGUGAGGAAUAUUGGUCAAUGGGCGAGAGCCUGAACCAGCCAAGUCGCGUGAAGGAUGACGGCCCUACGGGUUGUAAACUUCUUUUGUCAGGGAGCAAUUGAGUCCACGUGUGGGCUUAGCGAGAGUACCUGAAGAAAAAGCAUCGGCUAACUCCGUGCCAGCAGCCGCGGUAAUACGGAGGAUGCGAGCGUUAUCCGGAUUUAUUGGGGUUAAAGGGUGCGUAGGCGGAAUAUCAAGUCAGCGGUAAAAAUUCGGGGCUCAACCCCGUCGUGCCGUUGAAACUGAUGUUCUUGGGUGGGCGAGAAGUAUGCGGAAGGCGUGGUGUAGCGGUGAAAUGCAUAGAUAUUGGGAAGAACACCAGCGGCGAAGGCGAUUCACUGGACUGUAACUGACACUGAGGCACGAAAGCGUGGGGAGCAAACAGGAUUAGAUACCCCUGUAGUC
This 460-nucleotide ribosomal RNA is filed under the name uncultured bacterium. RNAcentral's name for it is "partial 16S ribosomal RNA". It matches the Rfam family "Bacterial small subunit ribosomal RNA", at positions 338 to 795 of the family's 1533-position model. The record is from RNAcentral.